AUGGCGCGGAAGAACAGAGGCAAGAAGACCAAAUCCAGAAAAACCCCACCUUUCUCCACCCCGUUUCCUCCCCCACCGCCGAUGGAGCCACAGGCCAAGGCGGCGAAGGCUUCGAUCGAUGUCCUCGCCGACUUCGACAUCUGCAGCAUUCUCCGCCGUCUCUCCCUCGCCGACCUCCUCCGUGCCGCCCUCGCCUGCCACCGCUGGCGCCGCCUGGCCGCCGGCUGCCUCCCUCGCGCCCCUCCUCUCCUCGGCUACUUCUUCCACCCAACCGAGACCCCUCCCCCGCCCCCCCUCCCGUAUACCAAGAACGUCGACACCCCCGCCGUGUUCGUUCCCCUCGACGCCUCCUCCCCUCGCCUCUCCCUCGAUUUCGCUCCGGACGCCUUCCGCUUCUUCCUCUUCGACUCGCAUCAAGGCCUCCUGCUUUUCGAGCCGGCCGACGAGUUUCCCAAGAAGAUGAUCCCCCGCUUCCUCGUCCUCGACCCGUCCACCAGCCGCCGCAUCCUCCUCCCGCCCCCGCCGCGCGACACGGUGCCCGAUGACCGCCGCUGGCGCAACUCAAGGUACUACGUCGGCUGCGCGCUGCUCUCCCGCGCUCGCCCGGGAAAGCUCUGCUUCGAGGUUGUCUGCUUCGCCAUCGACGGCGGCCACCCUCGCGCCUGGGUGGCGUCCGUCGACAACGGCGACUGCAGCUGGCGCGCGCUCCCGCGGGACGAGGAGGUCGUGGUCGAGUUCGAUCCCUAUUGGUUCGAGGGACGCUGCGUGCACGCCAGCGGCAAGAUCUACUGGCACAUCUGCAACUCUUGGCGCCUGCUCGUGCUGGACCCUGCCACACUCAAGUUCUCCUGCCUGCUGGUGCCGGACGCUAUGUCAUGCGGAUCCUGCAAGUACCGCAUCGGGGAGACGCCGGACGGGCGGCUUUGCUUGGUGACCGACGGCGAGAAACAGCUGCAGCUCUGGGUGCGCGGGGAGGGCAGGUCGAGUGACAACGGUUGGCUUCUGGAGAGGAGGAUCGUGGAUUUGAGCGUGGUGUGCGACAUGGUUCCUGGCCUGCACAGGGACACGAAGAUGAGGACCCUUAGGGUCUGGCCCAGCGACAUGGACGCCGGUCGCACAGGGAAGGUGUUCAUCAAGACCUGGGGAUACGGGUACUACUCGUUCGAUGUGGACACCGGCAAGAUGGAGAGCCUGUGGACGAAAGGUGGCAAGGAAUAUGGGCACCCCAUGUUCGCCUACUUCCUGGCAUGGCCGCCUGCGUUCCUCGCUCCAGAGAACUGA
This 1281-nucleotide ribosomal RNA is filed under the name Triticum aestivum (bread wheat). RNAcentral describes it as "partial small subunit ribosomal RNA". The record is from RNAcentral. Lineage: Eukaryota; Viridiplantae; Streptophyta; Magnoliopsida; Poales; Poaceae.